RNAcentral lists this ribosomal RNA (399 nucleotides) under Triticum aestivum (bread wheat). RNAcentral describes it as "partial small subunit ribosomal RNA". Lineage: Eukaryota; Viridiplantae; Streptophyta; Magnoliopsida; Poales; Poaceae. The record is from RNAcentral.
AUGAAAGGUCCGGCAACUGAAGGUGGCAGUGUGGCCGGGUCUGUUGAUGCUGCUUCAUAUCGUCUCUCUGACCCCGUGGGGGAGGGAGUGACUGCUCAACCUGGAGCCGGGGCUCGGCUGGGCACCAAGGUGGACGUGGUGGCCGGGGGUGGCAAACAGGGCCUGGCUGCCUCUGGUGGCUCGGCGAAGUUGGCGCGCUGGAGAAGGCUUCACAGAGAGGAGCAGGAGGAAUGGGCCAUCGUUCAAGCGGCGUGUGUGAAGCACGUACAGUUUGGGGUCCCAACCCCUCCGAACAGUGGCAGCGACCUGUCCGGUCGCAAGGCCGCUUUUGCUGAUAUUUUGGAGAGCUCGACGGGCAACAAGUUAAAGAUGUUUGGAAGACCAAGACCUUGUUCUUAG